Long non-coding RNA from Erinaceus europaeus (western European hedgehog), 441 nucleotides. RefSeq lists it as uncharacterized. NCBI's taxonomy places the organism in Eukaryota, Metazoa, Chordata, Mammalia, Eulipotyphla, Erinaceidae. The transcript has 3 exons. The record is from RefSeq and is a predicted model, not a curated record.
GUGGAGUUAACAGACCUGCCUCUUCCUGUCAAGAGCUAUCCUACUACUCUUGCCCUCGACUCUGUUUCACAGCUGAAUCUAGGAUUCACAGCACAACUUCAUCUCCCAGAGGGCCGGUUCCCAGGUUCCCAGAGCUUAACCUCAAGUGACAUUUUCAGCUCUUUCCACCCAACUUGCAUUCUGUCUAUCUUCCUAGGUACUGGAGGGGUUUUGUGUUGGUCUCUCCCUGGAGCAUUCCUGCAAGGCCACCAGGUUCCAGAUGCUACCAUGAUGCCAACCAGACUUCCCUGACAUGAUGCCAACCAGACAACCCCACCAAUGUGUCCUGGAGCCCUGAUUCCCCAUAUCCCCACCCCACUGGAGAAAGAGAGAGACAGGCUGGAAGUAUGGAUCCACAUGCUAAUGCCCAUGUUCAGUGGGGAAGCAACUACAGAAGCCAGA